GUGGGGAUGACGGAUCCCAGUUUUUGUCCCCGGCGCCCUGGGCUCCCCGGCCUGUGCUGUUGGAUUCGUGCUCCGGCCAUGCAGCCCCCU
This 90-nucleotide microRNA precursor is filed under the name Canis lupus familiaris (dog). Its description in RNAcentral is "mir-8799 microRNA precursor family". It matches the Rfam family "mir-8799 microRNA precursor family". RNAcentral also lists the same sequence under 1 other name. Lineage: Eukaryota; Metazoa; Chordata; Mammalia; Carnivora; Canidae. The record is from Rfam by way of RNAcentral.